UAAUUUAAUACGCCAGACGCGCGUUUCGUCUACAUAAGACUCAUCAGUGACGCUCAGAUCAAAAUAGUUGUAAAGCCAAAGAAGUACAAAGUUAAAAGGAAGUUACCACAAUGCACUUACACGUGAACUCGUGCUGACCCGCAAGAUCAUUGACCAAUAAGAAAGAUGAAAUCCAAUCAUGCAUUGGUCAUAAGUGAAAUUUCUCUGCACGUGAAAACAUGUUAUCUAAUUUCAACAAUUUAUCGUUUAAUUAAGUAGGACACUCUGACCCUUUGACCAGACUAGAGACAUCAUACAUUUAGAGUAUUAAUAGCUCACGCUUUUAUUUAAGUCGGUUAGUAAUAACCAAUUAAAACAGAAUUAUCUUCUCUGCUGUCUUAAAUUAUUUUAUUCCGCUAAAUUUUCAAUUAGCAAAUAAAAU
This 421-nucleotide long non-coding RNA is filed under the name Mytilus galloprovincialis (Mediterranean mussel). Lineage: Eukaryota; Metazoa; Mollusca; Bivalvia; Mytilida; Mytilidae. The record is from RNAcentral.